Hippopotamus amphibius kiboko is the source of this 831-nucleotide long non-coding RNA. RefSeq lists it as uncharacterized. The record is from RefSeq and is a predicted model, not a curated record. The transcript has 3 exons. NCBI's taxonomy places the organism in Eukaryota, Metazoa, Chordata, Mammalia, Artiodactyla, Hippopotamidae.
GCAGAGAAUUGAGGGACUGGGCCACCAACCACUGUGUGCCGACCUGGCCUUAGCACAAGGGAAAUAAAACAGUUAUGGGUACCUGGGGGUGAAAGUCAAGGAAUCACCACAGCAAAGGGGUAAAGGAGGGGGGUUGGGGGGAGCACAGUAAAAGAAGCUGCGGAAAUAAUUUUCCCAGCUUCACAUUCCCCAUUUACAGCCAGGCCAAGUUGGAGCUUGUUUUAUAGUCUAAAUUAGGCAGCCAGACUGGUCUGUAGAGCAAAGAUAUUUUUAUGGAGAAGCCAAAGAUACUAGUCAAAGAAGCCAAGCAAAUGCCCUCUUUUAUUAAACAUUUCAGAUGGGAAGAGGGCUCUGUUAGGGAGGAAAGGGUAAGAUCUGGUUACAGUAAAAGCAGGCAGCACAUCAGUGAUUCCAGACACCGGGGCAACCUCUCUCUCACCCUCCAUUCCCACAGGGUACUGUGCUCUGAUGGUCAAAAGAGAGAAGCCCUGUCUGCCAGCGCUGGCUGCUCAAAGAGUUAAAAGGGCAAGACACCAACAUGGGAGAGACCUGAAGCUCAAGAAAUGAGCAGUAAAUACUCAGCACAUCAUAACUGUGGACAAUGUAGCAGCACGUGAAAAUAGAUGACCCUGGAGGGCUGCAAUUAUGUUGGAUAAAUAUGCUAUGUCUGACUCUGAGUAGUUCUUUCUGUGCUAGCAUUUGGGGAAAAACAAUCCUUGCUAUAUGGAAAAGUGUAAGAAGAUGAAAAACAUGCUUCUGUUUUAGACAAAGCUUGUGAAGUUUCAAGGAUUGCUUAUGUAUUGGCCCAAUUGAGCUUCAGUGGCUUAAAAA